Molecule: non-coding RNA, 54 nt
Organism: Salmo salar (Atlantic salmon)
Lineage: Eukaryota; Metazoa; Chordata; Actinopteri; Salmoniformes; Salmonidae
Source: Rfam
UGCACUCACAAUGGUAAGUCGCUCUGGAUAAGAGUGCCUGCUAAAUGACUAAAA